This 300-nucleotide ribosomal RNA is filed under the name uncultured bacterium. RNAcentral's name for it is "bacterial SSU rRNA". It matches the Rfam family "Bacterial small subunit ribosomal RNA", at positions 29 to 314 of the family's 1533-position model. The record is from RNAcentral.
AGCGAACGUUAGCGGCGCGCCUAACACAUGCAAGUCGCACGAGAAAGGGCUUCGGCCCCGGUAAAGUGGCGCACGGGUGAGUAACACGUGGGUAAUCUUCCUCCGAGCGGGGGGAUAACAUUCCGAAAGGAGUGCUAAUACCGCAUAAGACCACGGAGUCGAAAGACACUGAGGUAAAAGCUGGCCUCUUCACGAAAGCUAGCACUUGGAGAUGAGCCCGNGGCCCAUCAGGCAGUGGCAGGGUAAUGGCCUACCAAACCUAAGACGGGUAGCUGGUCUGAGAGGAUGAUCAGCCACACU